This 782-nucleotide ribosomal RNA is filed under the name Xerocomus illudens. RNAcentral's name for it is "eukaryotic LSU rRNA". The stretch from base 202 to 356 matches the Rfam family "5.8S ribosomal RNA". Lineage: Eukaryota; Fungi; Basidiomycota; Agaricomycetes; Boletales; Boletaceae. The record is from RNAcentral.
UGUAGCUGGCUGGAUCUAGUCUUUCUAGUCUGGCAUGUGCACGUCCCCUCACCUUUUCUAUCUACACACACCUGUGCACCUAUUGUAGAUCCCCUCUUGAAAGAGAAGGGAACUAUGUUUUCAUCACAUCACACACAUUGUAUGUCCAGAAUGUAAAUUUGUCAAUCAUUGAUUUGAUUGAUGAUAAAACAUAUAUAAUACAACUUUCAGCAACGGAUCUCUUGGCUCUCGCAUCGAUGAAGAACGCAGCGAAUUGCGAUAAGUAAUGUGAAUUGCAGAUUUCCAGUGAAUCAUCGAAUCUUUGAACGCACCUUGCGCUCCUUGGUAUUCCGAGGAGCAUGCCUGUUUGAGUGUCAUCGAAUUCUCAACCAAUCUCUCUUGAUUAAUCUUUAAUCUUCAAGGGGAGCUAUGGCUUGGAGUUGGGAGUUGCUGGCAUGACUGUCAGCUCUCCUUAAAUGUAUUAGCAAUCGAGUUGGCUAGUCUUUGACGUGCACGGCCUCAGACGUGAUAAUGAUCGUCGUAGCUGGAGCGUCUUUUCUAGACUAUGCACAUAGAUAGCUUCUAAUCAGAAUGGGAAGCAAAGAGUAGAGCAAAUAGUCCACAUUGAUCAUGAUCUAUAAUCUAUCAAGCUUAGCUACUAGGCAGUCUCCUGAGGCUGGCGAACACAAGCAAGAAGGAUUAGGAUUAGGAUUAGGAUGAAAUGCUUGAUCCUUUUUUCCCUACUUUCAGAGACUUGACCUCAAAUCAGGUAGGACUACCCGCUGAACUUAAGCAUAUCAAUA